UACGUAGGGGGCCAGCGUUGUCCGGACUUACUGGGCGUAAAGCGCGCGCAGGUGGACGCGUAUGUGCCGUGUGAAAGCGCCAUUCUUAACGUGGCGAGGUCAUGGUAGACAGCGUGUCUCGAGCCUCGGAGAGGCCAGUGGAAUUCCGGGUGGAGCGGUGAAAUGCGUAGAGAUCCGGAGGAACACCAGGGGCGAAAGCGGCUGGCUAGCCGAGUGCUGACACUGAGGCGCGACGGCGUGGGGAG
This 245-nucleotide ribosomal RNA is filed under the name uncultured bacterium. RNAcentral describes it as "partial 16S ribosomal RNA". It matches the Rfam family "Bacterial small subunit ribosomal RNA", at positions 524 to 768 of the family's 1533-position model. The record is from RNAcentral.